Molecule: ribosomal RNA, 330 nt
Filed under: uncultured bacterium
Lineage: Bacteria
Description: bacterial SSU rRNA
Rfam family: Bacterial small subunit ribosomal RNA
Source: RNAcentral
UGUGUAGGCGGUUCUUUAAGUUUGGUGUGAAAUCUCCCGGCUCAACCGGGAGGGUGCGCCGAAUACUGAGGGACUCGAGUGCGGAAGAGGAAAGUGGAAUUCCUGGUGUAGCGGUGAAAUGCGUAGAUAUCAGGAGGAACACCGGUGGUGUAGACGGCUUUCUGGACCGUAACUGACGCUGAGACACGAAAGCGUGGGUAGCAAACAGGAUUAGAUACCCUGGUAGUCCACGCCCUAAACGAUGCAUAUUUGGUGUGGGUCAUUCAGUUGAUCCGUGCCGGAGCUAACGCGUUAAAUAUGCCGCCUGGGGAGUACAGUCGCAAGGCUGAA